Molecule: ribosomal RNA, 1933 nt
Filed under: human metagenome
Description: bacterial LSU rRNA
Rfam family: Bacterial large subunit ribosomal RNA
Source: RNAcentral
GAUCUCCGUAGUGGGUGAGAGUCCCGUACGUGAAAGCGGCAAUUGUUGAUGGUUCUUGUUUCCCGAGUAGCACCGGGCCCGUGAAAUCCGGUGUGAAUCUGUCGGGACCACCCGAUAAGCCUAAAUACUUCUUGAUGACCGAUAGCGGACCAGUACCGUGAGGGAAAGGUGAAAAGUACCCCGGGAGGGGAGUGAAAUAGUACCUGAAACCGUGUGCUUACAAUCCGUCAGAGGCUUUCGGGCUGAUGGCGUGCCUUUUGAAGAAUGAGCCUGCGAGUUAGUGGUAUGUCGCGAGGUUAACCCGUGUGGGGAAGCCGGAGCGAAAGCGAGUCCGAAUAGGGCGUUUAGUGGCAUGCUCUAGACCCGAAGCGGGGUGAUCUACCCAUGGCCAGUGUGAAGCGACGGUAAGACGUCGUGGAGGCGCGAACCCACUUAGGUUGAAAACUGAGGGGAUGAGCUGUGGGUAGGGGUGAAAGGCCAAUCAAACUCCGUGAUAGCUGGUUCUCCCCGAAAUGCAUUUAGGUGCAGCGUCGUGUGUUUCAUCUUGGAGGUAGAGCUACUGGAUGGUCAAGGGGGCUUAUCCGCUUACCAACACCAGCCAAACUCCGAAUGCCAGGAUGUGAGAGCACGGCAGUGAGACUGUGGGGGAUAAGCUUCAUAGUCGAGAGGGAAACAGCCCAGAUCGCCGGCUAAGGCCCCUAAGCGUGUACUAAGUGGAAAAGGAUGUGGGAUCGCUUAGACAACCAGGAGGUUGGCUCAGAAGCAGCCACCCUUGAAAGAGUGCGUAAUAGCUCACUGGUCAAGUGGUCCUGCGCCGACAAUGUAGUGGGGCUCAAGUACACCGCCGAAGCCGCGGCAUUCCUUUUUGGGAUGGGUAGGGGAGCGUCGUGUAUCCGUUGAAGCUGCAGAGUGAUCUAGUGGUGGAGGGUAUGCGAGUGAGAAUGCAGGCAUGAGUAGCGAAUGACAUGUGGGAAACAUGUCCUCCGGAUGACCAAGGGUUCCUGGGCUAGGCUAAUCCUCCCAGGGUGAGUCGGGUCCUAAGGCAAGGCCGACAGGCGUAGUCGAUGGAUAACGGGUUGAUAUUCCCGUACCCGUAUAAGCGCGCCCAUGGUGAAUCAGUGAUACUAACUGUCCAGAAGCUGCUGUUUUCUCUUUUUAAGGAGAUGGUUGUGGAUGCACAGGACCUGAUCUGGUAGUAGCCAAGCGAUGGGGUGACGCAGGAAGGUAGCUGUGCCAGGUAGUGGAUUGCCUGGUGUAAGCGUGUAGGGUGACAGGUUGGUAAAUCCGCUUGUUGUGUACCUGAGACGUGAUGCGUAGCCAUUGUGGUGAAGUUAGUGAUCCUAUGCUGCCGAGAAAAGCCUCUAGUGAGUUCUUAUGCGGCCCGUACCCUAAACCGACACAGGUGGUCAGGUAGAGAAUACUAAGGAGUUCGAGAGAACUGUGGUUAAGGAAUUCGGCAAAAUGCCCCCGUAACUUUGGAAGAAGGGGGACCGAUGUUGGUGAGCACUUUUUCGGUGUGAGCUGGUGUUGGUCGCAGAGACCAGAGAGAAGCGACUGUUUACCAAAAACACAGGUCCGUGCGAAGACGUAAGUCGAUGUAUACGGACUGACGCCUGCCCGGUGCUGGAAGGUUAAGAGGACUGGUUAGUGGCCCUUGUGGCUGCGAAGCUGAGAAUUUAAGCCCCAGUAAACGGCGGUGGUAACUAUAACCAUCCUAAGGUAGCGAAAUUCCUUGUCGGGUAAGUUCCGACCUGCACGAAUGGAGUAACGAUUUCCCUACUGUCUCCACCAUGAACUCGGUGAAAUUGCAUUACGAGUAAAGAUGCUCGUUACGCGCAGCAGGACGGGAAGACCCCGGGACCUUUACUAUAGUUUGGUAUUGGUGAUUGGGACGGUUUGUGUAGGAUAGGUGGGAGACGUUGAUGCGGCCACG